GCGGGCACUAGUGUUUCGCACGAGGGCGGGGGGGUGUGUGCGCGCGUACGUGCACGCGUCGUGUGUGCACACGCACGUUGCACGCACAUGUCAUUGCACAGGCACACGUCGUGUGCACACACACAUCAUGCAUGCACGCACGUCAUGCACACACACGUCAGUGCACACAUGUGCAUGCACACACGUCACUGCGCAGACACACGUGCAUGCACACGCAUGUCAUUGCACGUGCACGCACACACGUCAUGCACGCACACGCCGUGCAUGCACACAUCAUUGCACAUGCGUGCACACACAUGCAUGCACGCACAUUUCAUUGCACAGACACACGUCGUGCAUGCACACACACAUUGCACGCACAUGUCAUCGCACAGUCACACAUCGUGUGCACACAUGCAUCAUGCAUGCACACACACGUCAUUGCACAGACACACCUCGUGCACGCACACACAUGUUGCACGUGCAUGUCAUUGUGCAUGCGCACACAUGCACGCACACAUGUCAUGCACACACGUGUCAUUGCAUGCACAUGCACACACGUUGUGCAGGUGCACACACUCAUGCAUGCACACACAUCAUGCAUGCACACAGGUCAUGCACACACACGUGCAUGCACACACGUCAUUGCCCAGACACACGUGCAUGCAUACACAUGUUGCACGCAUAUGUCAUUGCACACACACGUCAUCACAUGCAUACACACGCGCAUGCACACACACACUGUGCAUGCACACGCAUAUCAUUGCAUGCACAUGUCAUUGCACAUGCACACACGUUUUGCAGGCACACACACACAUGCGUGCACGCACACACACGUCAUUGCACACACAUGCUGUGCAUGCACACACACAAGUGCACACACAUUUUGCAUGAGAGCAGGAGCCCUCACGUGUGUGCGCGUGCACAUUGUGUGCACACAGAUGCCUGUGUGUGCGUGUGCGCAGGUGUUUGUGCAUGCACACAUACUGCAUGAGGGAGGGAGCACACACUUGUGUGUGUGCACAGAAUUGCAUGCACAUGUGCGCGCACGAGGGCAGGAGCAAUCACCCGUGUGUGUGUUCACAUCUGUGUGUGCACAGUCGCGUGUCCGUGCGCACUUGUGCAAGCGCACACACACAUAUUUGUGCAUGCACCCCCAUUUUCCAUGCGCGCCCGCGCACAGGGCAGGCGUGCACCCACCUGCUUGUGCAUGCACACGCGUGCACAGAGGGCUGCUCCCUCUCCCUGGCCCCCCCCCACGACCCCCCCAGGUGACGGCUGAACCGGGGGCACAAGUGUCCCCAUCCAUCUCCCGCGCUAGUGACGGGUGGGGGCUGCACGGGGGCUUUUUGGGGGGUGUGUGUGUGGUGUGUGUCCCCCCCCCGGUGUCACCCUGUCCACCCCCCUUCCCCACACCCCCCCCCCAAGUGACGGCUGAACCCGGUGCACAAGUGUCCCCAUCCAUCUCCCCCACCGGUGACGGAUGGUCCUGCCCAGUGGGGGCUGCACGAGGGCUUUUGGGGGGGGGGGAAGUGGG
RNAcentral lists this long non-coding RNA (1516 nucleotides) under Calidris pygmaea (Spoon-billed sandpiper). Its description in RNAcentral is "lncRNA (ENSCPGG00000017765.1)". Lineage: Eukaryota; Metazoa; Chordata; Aves; Charadriiformes; Scolopacidae. The record is from RNAcentral.